This 497-nucleotide ribosomal RNA is filed under the name uncultured bacterium. RNAcentral describes it as "bacterial SSU rRNA". It matches the Rfam family "Bacterial small subunit ribosomal RNA", at positions 28 to 507 of the family's 1533-position model. The record is from RNAcentral.
GACGAACGCUGGCGGCGUGCCUCUUACAUGCAAGUUGAGCGCUGAAGGUUGGUACUUGUACCGACUGGAUGAGCAGCGAACGGGUGAGUAACGCGGGGGGAAUCUGCCUUUGAGCGGGGGACAACAUUUGGAAACGAAUGCUAAUACCGCAUAAAAACUUUAAACACAAGUUUUAAGUUUGAAAGAUGCAAUUGCAUCACUCAAAGAUGAUCCCGCGUUGUAUUAGCUAGUUGGUGAGGUAAAGGCUCACCAAGGCGAUGAUACAUAGCCAACCUGAGAGGGUGAUCGGCCACAUUGGGACUGAAACACGGCCCAAACUCCUACGGGAGGCAGCAGUAGGGAAUCUUCGGCAAUGGACGAAAGUCUGACCGAGCAACGCCGCGUGAGUGAAGAAGGUUUUCGGAUCGUAAAACUCUGUUGGUAAAGAAAAACGUUGGUGAGAGUGGAAAGCUCAUCAAGUGACGGUAACUACCCAAAAAGGGACGGCUAACUACGUG